This 64-nucleotide transfer RNA is filed under the name Psylliodes gougeleti. Its description in RNAcentral is "tRNA-His". The record is from RNAcentral. Lineage: Eukaryota; Metazoa; Arthropoda; Insecta; Coleoptera; Chrysomelidae.
AUCUAAAUAGUUUAAAUAAAAAUUUUGAUUUGUGGUAUCAAAGAUAUAAUAUUUAUUUUAGAUU